CGGCGGAGUGGGUGAGUAACACGGUGGGGAACCUCGCCCCAUAGUCUGGGAUACCACUUGGAAACAGGCGCUAAUACCGGAUAAGAAAGCAGAUCGCAUGAUCAGUCUUUUUAAAAGGCGGCGUAAGCUGUCGCUAGUGGGGAUGGGCCCCCGCGGUGCAUUAGCUAGUUGGUAAAGGUAAAAGGGCUUACCAAGGCGAUGAUGCAUAGCCGAGUUGAGAGACUGAUCGGCCACAUUGGGACUGAGACACGGCCCAAACUCCUACGGGAGGCAGCAGUAGGGAAUCUUCCACAAUGGACGCAAGUCUGAUGGAGCAACGCCGCGUGAGUGAAGAAGGUUUUCGGAUCGUAAAGCUCUGUUGUUGGUGAAGAAGGAUAGAGGUAGUAACUGGCCUUUAUUUGACGGUAAUCAACCAGAAAGUCACGGGCUAACUACGUGCCAGCAGCCGCGGUAAAU
RNAcentral lists this ribosomal RNA (456 nucleotides) under uncultured Lactobacillus sp. Its description in RNAcentral is "bacterial SSU rRNA". It matches the Rfam family "Bacterial small subunit ribosomal RNA", at positions 96 to 525 of the family's 1533-position model. The record is from RNAcentral. Lineage: Bacteria; Bacillati; Bacillota; Bacilli; Lactobacillales; Lactobacillaceae.